Molecule: ribosomal RNA, 621 nt
Filed under: Chaetothyriales sp. A1054
Lineage: Eukaryota; Fungi; Ascomycota; Eurotiomycetes; Chaetothyriales
Description: SSU rRNA
Rfam family: Eukaryotic small subunit ribosomal RNA
Source: RNAcentral
CUCAAAGAUUAAGCCAUGCAUGUCUAAGUAUAAGCAACUAUACUGUGAAACUGCGAAUGGCUCAUUAAAUCAGUUAUCGUUUAUUUGAUAGUACCUUACUACAUGGAUAACCGUGGUAAUUCUAGAGCUAAUACAUGCUAAAAACCCCGACUUCGGAAGGGGUGUAUUUAUUAGAUAAAAAACCAAUGCCCUUCGGGGCUCCUUGGUGAUUCAUAAUAACUUUACGAAUCGCAUGGCCUUGUGCCGGCGAUGGUUCAUUCAAAUUUUUGCCCUAUCAACUUUCGAUGAUUGAGUAGUGGUCAAUCAUGGUAUCGACGGGUAACGGAGAAUUAGGGUUCGAUUCCGGAGAAGGAGCCUGAGAAACGGCUGCUACAUCCAAGGAAGGCAGCAGGCGCGCAAAUUGCCCAAUCCCAAUACGGGGAGGCAGUGACAAUACAUACUGAUACAGGGCUCUUUUGGGUCUUGUAAUUGGAAUGAGUACAAUUUAAAUACCUUAACGAGGAACAAUUGGAGGGCAAGUCUGGUGCCAGCNGCCGCGGUAAUUCCNGCUCCAAUAGCGUAUAUUAAAGUUGUUGCAGUUAAAAAGCUCGUAGUUGAACUUUGGGCCUGGCUGGCCGGUCC